GGGGGGAAAACCCUGAUGCAGCGACGCCGCGUGAAGGAAGAAGUAUCUCGGUAUGUAAACUUCUAUCAGCAGGGAAGAUAGUGACGGUACCUGACUAAGAAGCCCCGGCUAACUACGUGCC
This 121-nucleotide ribosomal RNA is filed under the name uncultured bacterium. Its description in RNAcentral is "partial 16S ribosomal RNA". It matches the Rfam family "Bacterial small subunit ribosomal RNA", at positions 373 to 509 of the family's 1533-position model. The record is from RNAcentral.